Molecule: long non-coding RNA, 527 nt
Organism: Ictalurus punctatus (channel catfish)
Lineage: Eukaryota; Metazoa; Chordata; Actinopteri; Siluriformes; Ictaluridae
Exons: 3
Source: RefSeq, a predicted model, not a curated record
CCCACUUAGUAAAGGACUGUGGCUAAUCUGCAUAUGCACAUUAGCUCUAUUACCUGUUAGCGGAUUAAAAAGCUUUAAAACAAAGAGGAAGUAGGAAAAGAACUACAUUUCCCAUCUGCCCUGGCUGUCACAGGCUAAUAGCACCAGCUGCUUUCCAUUGCCCUAAGGAGUGAUUCUACUGCUGCAACGAGACCAAAUACAACGAAAGUAUUGAUGCUGCAAAAGAAGACGGAUCUUUUGGUAGGCUGGUUAAUGAUGACCACAAGCACCCAAAUGGCAGAAUGCAGAAGACUGAAGUGGAUGGAAGCCCACAUCUUGGUCUGUUUGCUUUAACAGACUUUAAAGAAGGUGAUGAAAUUACCUACAAUUACGGAGGAGGAGACUGGCCUUGGUGUAGCAAGGUAUGCAGGGUAUCUCCCUCUCUGUUUUCACAAUUUAAAAAUUAUUCAAAAAUAAACAUUGUCUUAUCCGGUAGUGGUGCAAUUCAUUUUUGUUGCACAACUAAUUUUGUGCUUGUGCAUUAACAA